This 529-nucleotide ribosomal RNA is filed under the name Salmonella enterica. RNAcentral's name for it is "partial 23S ribosomal RNA". It matches the Rfam family "Bacterial large subunit ribosomal RNA", at positions 1 to 560 of the family's 2925-position model. The record is from RNAcentral. Lineage: Bacteria; Pseudomonadati; Pseudomonadota; Gammaproteobacteria; Enterobacterales; Enterobacteriaceae.
GGGUUGUGAGGUUAAGCGACCAAGCGUACACGGUGGAUGCCCUGGCAGUCAGAGGCGAUGAAGGACGUGCUAAUCUGCGAAAAGCGCCGGUAAGGUGAUAUGAACCGUUAUAACCGGCGAUGUCCGAAUGGGGAAACCCAGUGUGACUCGUCACACUAUCAUUAACUGAAUCCAUAGGUUAAUGAGGCGAACCGGGGGAACUGAAACAUCUAAGUACCCCGAGGAAAAGAAAUCAACCGAGAUUCCCCCAGUAGCGGCGAGCGAACGGGGAGGAGCCCAGAGCCUGAAUCAGCAUAUGUGUUAGUGGAAGCGUCUGGAAAGGCGCGCGAUACAGGGUGACAGCCCCGUACACAAAAGCGCAUGUGCUGUGAGCUCGAUGAGUAGGGCGGGACACGUGGUAUCCUGUCUGAAUAUGGGGGGACCAUCCUCCAAGGCUAAAUACUCCUGACUGACCGAUAGUGAACCAGUACCGUGAGGGAAAGGCGAAAAGAACCCCGGCGAGGGGAGUGAAACAGAACCUGAAACCGUG